RNAcentral lists this ribosomal RNA (644 nucleotides) under bacterium enrichment culture clone F10 1.694-12. RNAcentral's name for it is "bacterial SSU rRNA". It matches the Rfam family "Bacterial small subunit ribosomal RNA", at positions 8 to 660 of the family's 1533-position model. The record is from RNAcentral.
AGAGUUUGAUCAUGGCUCAGGAUGAACGCUGGCGGCGUGCCUAACACAUGCAAGUCGAGCGGAGACCAUGAAGUUUCGAUGGAUUGGUUUCAGCGGCGGACGGGUGAGUAACACGUGAGUAACCUGCCUUCUUCUGGGGAAUAACACAGAGAAAUUUGUGCUAAUACCGCAUGAUGUCACGACUGGGCAUCCAGAUGUGACCAAAGGAGCAAUCCGGAGGAAGAUGGACUCGCGUCCGAUUAGGUAGUUGGUGAGGUAACGGCCCACCAAGCCUACGAUCGGUAGCCGAACUGAGAGGUUGAUCGGCCACAUUGGGACUGAGACACGGUCCGCACUCCUACGGGAGGCAGCAAUUAGGAAUCUUGCGCAAUGGGGGCAACCCUGACGCAGCGACACAGCGUGGAGGAUGAAGGUCUUCGGAUUGUAAACUCCUUUUAUAUGGGAAGAAUAAAUGACUGUACCAUAUGAAUAAGUACCUGCUAACUACGUGCCAGAAGCAUCGGUGAUGCGUAGGGUACAAACGUUAUCCGGAUUUACUGGGCGUAUAGAGAUGCGUAGGCGGUUUGAUAAGUCGUAAGUUAAAGACCUCGGCUCAACCGAGGGAGAGCUUUCGAAACUAUCAGACUUGAGACAUAGAGGGGUGA